Long non-coding RNA from Poecilia latipinna (sailfin molly), 1691 nucleotides. RefSeq lists it as uncharacterized. NCBI's taxonomy places the organism in Eukaryota, Metazoa, Chordata, Actinopteri, Cyprinodontiformes, Poeciliidae. The transcript has 2 exons. The record is from RefSeq and is a predicted model, not a curated record.
ACCAUGACUUCCUGUUAGGAUGGCAGCAGGAAAAAAGUUAGAAAGAUCUGAACUGCAGCUGGAGACCAAACCUGAGACCAUUUCACAACAAAAGGAGAUAAAAAAAAAAGAGUAAAUUUUUGCCCAAAAAUUUAGAAUAAAACAGGGACACUUCUGAGUUUGACAAGUUGAAAAUUUGCUAAGAAAAAAAAAACAUUUUUAUAUUAAUCCAUGUUUGAAACGUCCAUGUUUCUUUCUAGAAAAAACGUUUUUGAGUGAAAUUAGCUUCUUUUCCUCUUCACCUUUAUUCGUCAUGUAUCUGGACGGUGGGAGGAAGCCGCAGUAUCCAGGGAGAACCAGGACACGCACAGGGAGAACAUGCUAACAUGCAGAAAGACUCAUUACCCAGGCUAACGUCUGGCUGUUAGCUAGCUGUUAGCUAGCUGUGCUAACGGCUCCAUGCAGUCAGGAAGGCCAAUCAGAGCAGCUCUGCUGAAAACACACAAGGGAUUUGCUGCUGAAUUAUCAAACGCAAUCACAACAGUUUGAUAAACCAGGCUGUUCAAACAGAACCGGGUCGCGGUCUGGGUCCAGGGGAACAACAGCGGCUCCAAAAUAAAGCGGAACACUGAUGGAGUUAAACGGCCUGCGCUGCCGGCUAAGCUCCGGCUUUGGGAAAGAAAAACACCAACAAAUUAGGCGGAAACGCUGCGGCUGAACUUGUUGUCAUUCCGGAGCCAGUCAUGGCCGCCGCCGCUCGGCCGCUGUGACACCUAUCGCGACCUCGAACAAACAUGGCGAGGUCGUGACCCUGCUGUGUUUGGAUUCACAGGCCGAGGGUCCAGACUGCAGAACCGGGUCAAAGUUCCGAACAGGAAUGCAGCCGCAACCCUUUGACUAGGACAUGGACCUCAACAUGAACCUUCAGCCAAACACAACUGACUCCAGCUCCACUCACAGAAGGAAGGUCAGCAGCUUUUCUCUGGAAGUCUCAAAUUUAAGAGCAACUUUCUCCACUGUGGGAAGGUUUUACAACAUAAAACUGACUUUUAGGAAUAGAGCUAAAUUGAUGGAGGAUUUUCUGUGAUUCACAAAAUCACACGUGCAGACACGAGAAAACUGGACUUAUCAGCUUCAGUGAGGCCGAAGGAUUGUGUGAUGAUAGAAACGUCGUCCACCAGCAGACAGAAAUGAUGUUGAAAGAGAUGAACUUCCUCUCCGUCUGCUGAGUGGUUUUAUUCAUGGUCUUCUGCUUUUUGUGCUACAACUUUUCUCUGGACCUUCUGCUUCUGUGACAUUGCUUGUCCGUCAUUUACUCCUUCACAUGAAAACAUGUCUCUUUCUAACUUUGGUCAAACUGUUGCACUGAGCCUGCAGUGCUUAAACUCCAGAGCCUCAGGAUCCAGAUCAUAGAAAUAAUGAGCAACAGUUAGCUGCUGUUUUUCUGCCAUAUAAGGCAAGUGAAAAUGGAGUCAAGCACAGAUCUGAAGGUAAAACAAUGAAAAUAUGAUUUUAAAAAAUAAAUGCCCAUUCCUUCCCAUUAUGACGAACUUAAAAUUAUUUAUUUUUUGACUGUGUAACUUUUCAAAUGGCUGAGUAUUUAAAUACAUGAUGGUAUAUUUAUGUUUUGUAUAUUAGCAUCUGCUCGCUAAUUCUUCAGUCACAGUAAAAAUGCUAAUGGCAAAAUAAAGACUUGAUUACUAUGGAAACCA